Molecule: ribosomal RNA, 492 nt
Filed under: uncultured bacterium
Lineage: Bacteria
Description: partial 16S ribosomal RNA
Rfam family: Bacterial small subunit ribosomal RNA
Source: RNAcentral
AGUGAACGCUGGCGGUAGGCCUAACACAUGCAAGUCGAACGGCAGCACAGUAAUAGCUUGCUCUUACGGUUGGCGAGUGGCGGACAGGUGAGGAAUACAUCGGCAUCUACUUUUUCGUGGGGGAUAACGUCGGGAAACUUACGCUAAUACCGCAUACGACCUACGUGUGAAAGCAGAAGAUCUUCGGACCUUGCGCGAUUUAAUGAGCUGAUGUCGGAUUAGCUAGUUGGCGGGGUAAAGGCCCACCAAGGGGACGAUCCGUAGCUGGUCUGAGAGGAUGAAGAGGGACAGUGGAACUGAGACACGGCCCAGAGUCUGACGGGAGGCAGAGGUUGGGAAUAUUGGACGAUGGGCGCAAGCCUGAUCCAGGCAUACCGGGUGGGUGAAGAAGGCCCUCGGGUUGUAAAGCCCUUUUGGGGGGAAAGAAAAGCAGCAGGUUAAUCCCCCGCUGUUCUGACGGUACCCAAAGAAUAAGCACCGGCUAACUUCGUG